GUUCCCGCGGCUUGGUUCAGCUAUUGACGGGCGCUUUGAAUGACGGAAGUGACGAGAGCGUGGCGAUGGCCGCCCCGCAGGCGCCCAAACGGCUCUUGGGACGCUGAGCGUCGGGCACUGCGGGGGUCGCGGGGAGCUGCCUCCUGUGGACUCCGGACUUCGCGCUCCUGGGGCUCAGAUCCAUUUUAUUUAAAGUACACAGAAAUGAAAAGAAAGGUAGUGAAUGCUGACAAGCUAAGAUUGAGUCCUAAGGAGGAAGCCUGCAUUUUGAAGGAAGAUUAUGAAAGAAGACGAAAACUAAGAUUGCUACAGGUUCAAGAACAAGAAAGGGACAUUGCUUUGCAAAUAAGAGAAGGCAUAAAACAGAGAAGAAAUCAACAAUUUACUCGUUUGGCAGACAAGCUAAGGGCAGAAUGGGAAAACUCACACACUCAGAAAAUACAAAACUUGGAAAAACUGUACUUGGGAAGUUUAAGAAAUAUGGGAGAAGGACAUCGACAAGCCAAAGAAAAUGAACCUGAUUUGGAUGCUCUGGCACGGCGGGCAGCAGAAAGGAAAAGAAAAGCAGAAGUGAGACAUAAGGAAGCCCUGAAAGUACAAAAAAAUCAAAAGGAAAUAUUAAUGAAACAGAAAACCUGGCAUAUACAAGCUUGAAAGCAAGCACUGCUUGUGGAAAAAGAGAGAUCUGCAAAAAUAUCAAGUCUGCCACUGCCUCUUCCAGCUCCUUUUGAGACUUUUCCACACUCUGGAUUUCUUGCUCUGAAGAUAUAAAUUAUGGAGUGGUGGUUCACACUUGUAAUCCUUGUACACGGAGAACACAGGAUAGCAUUUUGAGGCCAGCUGGGCCAAAGAGUUGUGAGACCCCCCUUCUCUCCAUCUUGAACAAUAAAUACUGGGCAUGGUGUCGCUUGCCUAUCACCCUAGCUGGGAUUGCAGUUCAGACUGCCCAGGCACAAACCUGAGCCCCUACUCAAAACAUAACUAAAACAAGAAGGGCUAGGGGCGUGGCUCGAGUGGUAGAGUGCCUGGGUAGCAGGUGCAAGGCCUUGAGUUCAAACCCCAGUACCACCAAUAAAAGAAAAAAGAAAUUACGGUUCAGAUACUUUAAAAAUCUGCUCAAGAUUAUAAGGUAAUGAGAGGGAUUUAUUUAUAUGAGUAAAAUGUGUGCUUUUGUGAUUGAAACUCAUUUUUAAGAGAAUUGUUAAUAACAAUAGAAAUUAACUUUAAGAAGUAUUGGAGCCCGGAGCGUUGGCAUUAGCCUGUAAUCCCAGCACUCAGGAGGCUGAGACAGGAUUAUGGCGAAUUCAAGACCAGCCCCCAUCUCCAAAAAAAAGUGGUUUUCUUGUUCAUAUUUGGUUUUUGUGGUUAUUGACAUGGCUAUUUAUAUGGUUGUCAAAAUUGCAGUUAUCUGAAAAGUUAAGCAGAAGUAAAAGAAUACCUUCACAAUUACAGGGAUGUCUAAUGUGGUUGUAUAUACAAGUAUAUUUUAUGUGUGUCUAAUUAGCAUAAGUCCCAGAUAUUCUCUAGGUCUUCCACUUUGUCAGCCUUUCUGCUUUUGUGUUGAGCCAUCUGCUGUGUUGCAUUUGGUCCAACAAGGUUAAGAUGGAGGAGUCCUAUUUCAGCCAUGCCCUUAGCUCCAGGCAGGAUUAUAAAAAGGCAGGCAGUGUUUUAUUCAUGAUGCCUUUUGAUUACCUUUGUCUUAUUCCUAAUGUUCAUAACAAGCCAAGAUUAAAAAUGUACAAAACAAAAUAUUGUCUGUGUGUAAGUACUUUGUAGGUAUGAAUUAUAUGCAGAUACGUUGUUGUCCUUUUUUCUUUCAACUUCUCAUGAAAAUUUUCAAAGUAUAAGAAAGUUAAGAAUAUAGUAAUUGGGCUGUUAGAGUAGCUCAAAUGGUAGAGUACCUGCCUUGGGUUCAAACCCCAGUACCUCAAAAAAAAAAAAAAA
Molecule: non-coding RNA, 1944 nt
Organism: Castor canadensis (American beaver)
Lineage: Eukaryota; Metazoa; Chordata; Mammalia; Rodentia; Castoridae
Source: RefSeq, a predicted model, not a curated record